GCGUGUAAUGCCAGCGUAAGUGUGGUUACGACACAUGCAUGCAUGCAUGGCAUGGCUCUUGAUUCGGCCGUUUGUUUUGCUCCGAGUAGAUAGAUUAGGGCUUUGUUUAGUUUCUCAAAAAUUUUGCAAAAUUUUUCAGAUUCUCCGUUACAUCGAAUCUUUAGACGUAUGCAUGAAGUAUUAAAUAUAGAUGAAAAUAAAAACUAAUUACACAGUUUGAUCGAAAUUGACGAGACGAAUCUUUUGAGCCUAAUUAGUCUAUAAUUGGACAAUAAUUGUCAAAUACAAACAAAAGUGCUACUAUUCACAUUUUGCAAAAAUUUUUGGAAGUAAACAAGGCCUAGAUAUUAUAUUGCUGGUCGGUAGUUUAUUAUUACCACCUCACUGACUCACUCUUUCCCUCUGCGUUUUCUUCUACCGUACCUUCUUUUUUUCCUUCUAGCUUUCUUUUUUUUUCCAUUUCAAAUAUGUUUAAAACUUGUAAGGGAGAUUUAAGCCUUGUUUGGUCGGUUGGGAACGUCUCUUAGUCGGACGUUUUUUUCGACAAUUUAUAUAACGUUGAAAUGCAUGGUUCCAUGCUAGAAACCGUCUUGAAUGGUGUUGGGUACCAUAAUAAGGGAUACCCAAAUCAGAGCAACGAAAAACGCGAAGAAACAUACUGAUUACAAUCAUCAGGGCCUCGGACGCAAGUUCCGACUCGCCCGACCCCUCAGGGUCUUGAUCGCAAGUUCCGACUCGCCCGACCCCUUAGGGUCUCGGACGCAAGUUCCGACUCGCCCGACCCCUCAGGGUCUCGAACGUAAGUUCCGACUCGCCCGAACCCUCAGGGUCUCGGACGCAAGUUCCGACUCGCCUGACCCCUCAGGGUCUUGGACGCAAGCUCCGUUUCACCCGAUCCCGUCCAGGCUCGGGCGCCGGACCCCACUCCACCUGGGC
RNAcentral lists this long non-coding RNA (936 nucleotides) under Sorghum bicolor (sorghum). RNAcentral describes it as "long non-coding RNA (SBIC_LNC009760)". The record is from RNAcentral. Lineage: Eukaryota; Viridiplantae; Streptophyta; Magnoliopsida; Poales; Poaceae.